This 301-nucleotide ribosomal RNA is filed under the name uncultured bacterium. Its description in RNAcentral is "partial 16S ribosomal RNA". It matches the Rfam family "Bacterial small subunit ribosomal RNA", at positions 509 to 807 of the family's 1533-position model. The record is from RNAcentral.
CAGUAGCCGCGGGAAUACAGAGGGUGCAAGCGUUACUCGGAAUUACUGGGCGUAAAGCGUGCGUAGGUGGUGGUUUAAGUCCGUUGUGAAAGCCCUAGGCUCAACCUGGGAAUUGCAGUGGAUACUGGGUCACUAGAGUGUGGUAGAGGAUAGUGGAAUUUCCGGUGUAGCAGUGAAAUGCGUAGAGAUCGGAAGGAACAUCUGUGGCGAAGGCGACUAUCUGGGCCAACACUGACACUGAGGCACGAAAGCGUGGGGAGCAAACAGGAUUAGAUACCCCGGUAGUCCCUGUCUCUUAUAC